CCUUUCUAAGUAAAUAAAGACAGAUGCAUACUUAAGUCGCUUAAAAGCAAAAUAAUAUUAGUGCAACCGGACCGGAGUCUGGCUAUUAGACCCAUUAUUUCAACUUUAAUUUUAAUAUCAUACUCCUUAACGAUUGGUCAGAUGCAGUUUUAUUUUAUGAAAAUGAGUAAAAUAUAAUCUCCCGUUUUGGUUUCAUUUACUUUUUCAUCUGCGCCAUGCAGGAGUAUCGAAUAUCGAAACAGAUCGAAUCGCAUUGAAUUGAGUGCAGCAUAUAUAACGCAAUACGACGUGCAAAUUCAACAUAUCUCAUCUUGCUAUAGAUCGAGUGAACGUUCGGCGUGAACCGCGCUUGCACGAUUGCAUUGUCUUAUCAUCGACAUCGUUAAACGACAGAAAGGACGUAGAAAAGAAAUUUGGUUGAAGCGUGUUGUCAAGUGACAAGUUUAUGAGAAACAAAGUGCAGGAUGGAAAGUGAACAACAACGACAACAGAGUAGUAACGUGUCGAAACCAAAGGAUAGGUUAGUCGGCCUAUUGGAUCAAAUUGAGGUGCACGUAGAACAAUUGAGAAAAGAUGCUUCUAGACUCGAGGAGGAAAAGGAUAGUCUGCUAACGACCUUGGAUACUUUGCGGAAUAAUGACAUCCUGUGUACUCUCGAAGAAUCUGAUAGGGAUGAUGUCUUAAGGUAUGCCGAGAGACUAUCCAUGCGAUGUUUGACUGUAGAUGUAUUAGUAAAAGUCCAACGUGACCAUAUACAGCAGGAAGCGCUACAUCAAGUUAACGGCUUAAUUGAUGGCUUGGUUGUGGGUUUGCGUCAAGAUCCCAGUGCUACUCGGCAAAGGUGUGCAGAAUUUAUGAAUGCGUGUUCCUCCCAUGGUACAGGACAUUCUGAUAAAACUUUUGAGACUGCCAUUCUCGGAUGUACAAUGGACGAUCAGAAACGUAUAAAGAAGAGGCUGCAGGGACUCCUAGACUAUAUAGAUAAGAUGCACAUUUUGGAGUUACAGUGAAAUCAUGGUCGAAGAAAUGAAAGAAAUCAUGUAACAGAUAAAUCUAACGAUGUUUGCGCAUUUUCUGUGUGGAUUUCAGACGACAAGUUUUCUGAUAAAGCUAAGACACUUGUACUUACAACAGAGACCUGAUGAUGAUGUUAUCUUGAUGAUUGUAGCAAAUUUAGGAAAGAAUACUUGGACGUAUCUCCAGCAAAUUACAUUCGUUGCAUCUCCAUUAUGUGGCUACGACUUAUCGAUCAUCUCUUCACUUGACAAGUAAACUAUUAUGUGAAACUACUCUACUGUAUGUAUAGAACAAGCAACUGGAUUUAGUGACAUAGCAGAUAGGAUGCUGUCAACAGUAUCUUCCAGUUCAAGAUUUUAAGAAAAAAGUUACCUUAAGACACAUUUAACAUCCCAGCGCACCAGCAAAAAGUUUUAUGCUCAGUUAUUCAUCACGUCUGCUCGGCGAUAUUUCAUCCGUCGAGAGCAUACACGAGAGAGAUGAUAUUAUGCUUUUGGUAUUUUUUCGCCAAGAAACACGUGAUCAAUUCUGCUGAGGAACAUUAUACGGAAGAUGAGGCAAUAACCCGAUGGAUGUUUCCUCUCAGAAUAUACAGCGCAUCCUGCGUAUUUCAUUUAAGAAAAAAAAAAUAAAAAUGACCUUCGGAUCCUCGAGGCUACGUCGAAAAAAGUCUACAAAAAAGAGAGAGAGAGAGAAGAAGAAGAAUGUGGGGAAAAAGCGUUACCGCCACGAGACGGCCGCUUCGGUGUCGUGUAAUUCCAGUUAGACCAACGUCUCUCCUACUCGGGAAGACGUUCAACGUGUACUGGGCUCUGGUUCCUAAAAUAUAAGCAGCGUGCAUAAAACGGAAGGAAAGGAAAUGAAGGCAGGAUGUGCCGGUUGCAAAAUCCCACAGUAAUUUCGCCGCUAUGAAAUUCUGCCCGUGUGCGGAGCGCGCAGGUCUCGUUAGAAAAAUUUCACUCGUCGUUUACGCGCAGCCCCGAGUCCUCUAAUUUCAGUGCCGAUUAAUUUCAGGUUUCUCGCUAGUCUCAGCUUUAAUUGGAACGCUGCCCGCAAAUUACGCGACCUACCGGCGAAGCGAGUGACUGAUGGAUGCCGAAGCGCGUGGCAUGCAACGAGAGGGACGAAAUCUCCUUUUCAUAUUGACCGACAUUACACAUCCCCGGCCGGGGGGGGGGGGCGUCCGGUGGGGGAUACGAGAAGUAUCCCACGAUACAGCUCGCGCCGGCGCGAUUAAAAUCGGCUCUUUCUCAGGCACCGUCGUUCGAGCUCAUGUGCAUGCACGUAGCGGUAUAAUAAUCAGCGGCGAAUAAUCAGCUCGGCGUGCAAUAAUCGAAGCGGCUUAACUUAACGCGUAGCGUUAGGUCAGCGCCGGUCAGCUAGCUACUUCAGCGAGAAAUAUUCGCGGAAUUCACGGCGAAAAUGGGCCAACCCUUCGAUGAGCGAAAAUAACGAACGAUUGAUGAGCGUUUAAUUAAUAAACGUCACUAAUCAGCCCGGCGUGCGAUAAUCUAAAGCGACUCGCCGGUUGGCUCUCCCCGCCAGCGGGAAAUAUUCGCGAAAUCCGGCAAAAAUGGCGUGAGUCCGAUCGGUGGACAAGUAACGAGCGAUUGAUCAAAGAUUCCGCGAAAUUCGCCGUCGAUUUAGCCGGGCUUUUCUCUCUCGCUGCGCGAAUGACGCGCUCGUUGAAUAGUAAUUUUCAGCGUAGCGCGACACGAUAUUGCCGGUAAUUCACUCACUCGAUCUCACGCUCCAGGAAGUCAACGCCGAUGGUCUUCUUGUAAUCCCUCGUGUAUGUGCCUUUGCAGAACCUUUGGAUCAUCGACGACUUCCCCACGGCGCCGUUGCCUACUAUCACCACCUGAGCAAGAAAUGUUAAAUCGCGCGUCAGAUGUACCGUUCAUUAAGGGGGCAUCGAGCAGGAGAGCAUCCAUUAAUCGAGAGAUCUGAGCGUCGCCUCGGCUUAUAUCAAAUCCACACGAUGAUAGCGACGAGGACGGUCGAUCGAUCGAUUCGCGGGCCGAAUAAUUUCACCGAAUACGAGCGACGCCGCGAGUGCCGGGCGAGGUAGGAAGUGGGUUACGCCGAUAAUAAAACGAGGAAUAAAGCAAGACGCAAGUCCGCGGAAGGAAAAAAACCGGUCGUCACGAGGACGGUCUCUCGCUUCAGCGGACGCGGUUUAGAAUGUACACCGACACAUGCGUAAAUCAUCGUACGGCGAGGAAUCUCUGGAAUGCUCGUUGUAUCCGCAUCGAAUCGGCACGACGUUGAAGCGGCCGACACACGUCGUGAGUGAACGCGGCGCUGAUCCUCCCGUCGGAGAGACGUCACCUCCGAGCGAGAUAAGAAGUCUCCGACCGAUGAGACCGCGGCUAGAAGAAGAACGGCCGUCGCGGUUCCGGCACACCCUGUACAAAUAAGAGGAAAGGACACAAACGCCCGACGGUGGAAGGUGCAUACAUACGCGAGAAUGAAAAUGCGAGCGAGUACCGUUACGGCAAUCGCCAGAUAAGCAGAGAGAUCACUGGAGCAGCACCGAGCUCUCGCGUACCGGCGAUUGGCGGCGCCCCGCGGCUCCUUCGCCUCUGUUUUGAAUUCGCCACCUUUCGUCCGUCAUUGCGAAGUGCCCGCGUGCUCGCGAGAUCUCCGGGCGAUCACACCAAAUGGAGAUUCUCGUCGGGGACGAGCCGCUGUGGCAGGCAUCGAAAUUAAUAUCGAACGUUAUAUUAUGCGCGGGCUCGUGAGCAACGUCCGAUGAUAUAUACAUCCUGCGCGUCGCAGCCAAAUGAAGCGAGUGGACGUCGUCGCCCGACGACGAGUGUGAAGGUGAUUUGCAUAGAAAUACCGCGGCAGGACGGGCGAAUUUGCGAGUCAAUAUCUCAGACGAACGAGUAAACGGUUCAGUCGCAGAGGUAAACCUCUGCGUCGCGUAUUAAUAGUCCUUGCUCGAGACUCGUUUCGCGUGAGAUACUCAGACCUGAAUGCAGACUUGGAUCUGAAUCUUUUUAUUCGAGGAUCGCGUGAUACAUGCGAUACGUUACAUUAGCGAUCGUUAGGCUAGGUUUCAGCUAGCGUCUGAACGUACACAGUUAGGUCCGUGUGUCUUCUCAUUUGAAUCGCGUUUAAAGCGUAUGAUUUACGUCGACGUCGCAUUCGCGAUCGCGGAUCAGUUGAGAAACUCGCAUCUCUAAUUCCGAAGUCCACACGCAGAGAGAUCGCGUCGCGUUGUAAUUUCUAUUUUUUACUCCACGGGGACAACCGUUCCAGCGGAAGACGUCGUCGUCGGGUAGCCGGCAGCUGGCGGGAGCAAAGACGAGAGCGAAAAACGCGCCGGUCAAUCUCCGUCCGGACGCGGAAUAAUUCCCCGCCGAGUAUCAUCGCUCGGCACGAACGGGGCUGCGUGGAAGAAGCUGCCGUCCUGCUCCUUUUUCCUUCCUCUUUUUGCCACUCGCCGGAAAAUCGUGGCGCGUGAGGAUGAGAGACGCGGCGCACGGAGCGGCUGAAUAGAAGAGAAUAGAGAGAGAAUAGAAAAGGGGAAACCGGCCAGACCCGGAGGAUCCGCUCGUUCCAGCGGCGGCAUCACGGCGCGCGCGUGUCCGCCGAACUUUCGGGACACGAUAAGGACACCGUGGCUCGCGCGGCGGUUCCGAAGGCGAGACCGGAAUGAAAGAGAAAAGUGAAAGAUCGCGCGGCGAGCGUGUACUCACGGAGCGAAAAAGAAGCGCAGCGCAGUCACGCGAUUACCUUGAGUGAUAUCUCGAGCUCUUCCUCCCGCAUCCUGAGCGCAAAGCCAAUUAGCAUAAUAUCCCACUACACCACCACGAAUUCAUGGUCCAAUCGAUCCGAUCGGCCUACGUGUGAAACGCGGAUCACCGUGGAUCCGCUCGCGCGUGUGAAAACUCGACUUUUAACCGAAAGCGACGGAAGAAUCUUGGAUAGAGAAAGAGAGGGAAUAAAAAUGAGAGAGAGAGAGAGAGAGAGA
RNA transcript from Harpegnathos saltator (Jerdon's jumping ant), 4999 nucleotides. It is a transcript of the gene named BAG family molecular chaperone regulator 2, with no coding region annotated. The transcript has 7 exons. The record is from RefSeq and is a predicted model, not a curated record. Lineage: Eukaryota; Metazoa; Arthropoda; Insecta; Hymenoptera; Formicidae.